UGAUAGCUUCGUUUAGGUCACCUGGGUC
Molecule: small RNA, 28 nt
Filed under: Bombyx mori (domestic silkworm)
Lineage: Eukaryota; Metazoa; Arthropoda; Insecta; Lepidoptera; Bombycidae
Description: ovarian small RNA-32439
Source: RNAcentral